GAUCUAGAAGGAUUGUGGAGCAAUAUAAGUCGUCACCUGAUUAUGCCAUUGCUUUACAUUCAUAUGGGGAUAAGGUGAUGGUGGCGUCCAUCAAGUUGACUAAGGAGUGGACCGUCACGCGGCGUAGUCAUCCAGGUCUUUUGGCCACUUAUCACGAGGCGACAGCGGAGGAGCCUCUCCUACGAGUUAAAAUACCAUUUAAAAGUAGCGUUCUUGGUGGCUCCCCUUUUUUGUAUAGCCUUUCAUUUUACACAUCUUAUUUUUUCCUAUUUGUCCGGGAUGUGGACAGGAGCUCGCCACACAUUUUGAGUGUGGAUAUUUCUCAUUUUUUGUUAUUGAUUAUAUCAAUGUAGAAUGCAUUGUUCUUUUA
This 370-nucleotide long non-coding RNA is filed under the name Olea europaea (common olive). Its description in RNAcentral is "long non-coding RNA (OEUR_LNC001707)". The record is from RNAcentral. Lineage: Eukaryota; Viridiplantae; Streptophyta; Magnoliopsida; Lamiales; Oleaceae.